RNAcentral lists this ribosomal RNA (787 nucleotides) under uncultured Bacillota bacterium. RNAcentral's name for it is "bacterial SSU rRNA". It matches the Rfam family "Bacterial small subunit ribosomal RNA", at positions 560 to 1347 of the family's 1533-position model. The record is from RNAcentral. Lineage: Bacteria; Bacillati; Bacillota.
GUAAAGGGAGCGUAGGCGGAUUUUUAAGUGAGAUGUGAAAUACUCGGGCUUAACCUGAGUGCUGCAUUUCAAACUGGAAGUCUAGAGUGCAGGAGAGGAGAAGGGAAUUCCUAGUGUAGCGGUGAAAUGCGUAGAGAUUAGGAAGAACACCAGUGGCGAAGGCGCUUCUCUGGUCUGCAACUGACGCUGAGGCUCGAAAGCAUGGGUAGCGAACAGGAUUAGAUACCCUGGUAGUCCAUGCCGUAAACGAUGAGUGCUAAGUGUUGGGAGGUUUCCGCCUCUCAGUGCUGCAGCUAACGCAUUAAGCACUCCGCCUGGGGAGUACGACCGCAAGGUUGAAACUCAAAGGAAUUGACGGGGGCCCGCACAAGCGGUGGAGCAUGUGGUUUAAUUCGAUGCAACGCGAAGAACCUUACCAGGUCUUGACAUCUAGUGCAAUCUGUAGAGAUACGGAGUUCCCUUCGGGGACGCUAAGACAGGUGGUGCAUGGCUGUCGUCAGCUCGUGUCGUGAGAUGUUGGGUUAAGUCCCGCAACGAGCGCAACCCUUGUUAUUAGUUGCCAGCAUUAAGUUGGGCACUCUAAUGAGACUGCCGGUGACAAACCGGAGGAAGGUGGGGAUGACGUCAAGUCAUCAUGCCCCUUAUGACCUGGGCUACACACGUGCUACAAUGGGCAGUACAACGAGAAGCAAGCCUGCGAAGGCAAGCGAAUCUCUGAAAGCUGUUCUCAGUUCGGACUGCAGUCUGCAACUCGACUGCACGAAGCUGGAAUCGCUAGUAAUCGCGG